GGGCAACGAUCAGGGCAAAUCACUGCCCAAAUCAAAAUGACAGCAGAGGCAGACAGAAGCGCGGGAAGAGAGGAAAAUUUCAGAUUCAAAAGCAUUGCAUUCCUACCACACUUCAAACUCUUCACGACCAGUUCCAACUCAAUUCUAAGAGUCUCAAGAGAGUCUUCCACCCAAGAAAUUCCACUUACAACGAAAUUCAAAGGAAAAAAGGGGAAUCAAGACUACAAAGACCAAAUCAAAUUGGGAUUUCCAAGCCCUAAUUGAAUUGGGACUCUCCACCUAUAAAAUGGACAACAAUCAAAC
This 303-nucleotide long non-coding RNA is filed under the name Manihot esculenta (cassava). RNAcentral describes it as "long non-coding RNA (MESC_LNC005633)". Lineage: Eukaryota; Viridiplantae; Streptophyta; Magnoliopsida; Malpighiales; Euphorbiaceae. The record is from RNAcentral.